This 516-nucleotide ribosomal RNA is filed under the name Parnassius andreji. RNAcentral describes it as "partial 16S ribosomal RNA". The stretch from base 389 to 516 matches the Rfam family "Bacterial large subunit ribosomal RNA", at positions 2473 to 2600 of the family's 2925-position model. Lineage: Eukaryota; Metazoa; Arthropoda; Insecta; Lepidoptera; Papilionidae. The record is from RNAcentral.
GUCUUUUUGGUUAAUAAUUUAAAGUCUAAUCUGCCCACUGAUAAUAUAUUAAAGGGCUGCAGUAUUUUGACUGUACAAAGGUAGCAUAAUCAUUAGUCUCUUAAUUGGUGACUUGUAUGAAAGAUUUGAUGAAAUAUAUACUGUCUCUAAUUAAUUUAUAAAAUUUAAUUUUUUAGUUAAAAAGCUAAAAUAAAUUUAAAAGACGAGAAGACCCUAUAGAGUUUAAUAUUUAUAUAAAUUGAGAUUUUAUAUAAGAAUUAUAAUUUUAAUAAUAUAUAAAUAUUUUGUUGGGGUGAUAAAAAAAUUAAAAUAACUUUUUUUAUAUUUUUACAUUUAUAAAUGAAUAAAUGAUCCAUAAUUUAUGAUUAUAAGAAAAAAUUACCUUAGGGAUAACAGCGUAAUUUUUUUUUUUAGUUCAAAUAAGAAAAAGAGUUUGCGACCUCGAUGUUGGAUUAAGAUAAAAUUUAAAUGCAAAAGUUUAAAAUUUUUGAUCUGUUCGAUCAUUAAAAUCUUACA